This 492-nucleotide ribosomal RNA is filed under the name uncultured bacterium. RNAcentral describes it as "partial 16S ribosomal RNA". It matches the Rfam family "Bacterial small subunit ribosomal RNA", at positions 29 to 507 of the family's 1533-position model. The record is from RNAcentral.
AUUGAACGCUGGCGGCAUGCUUUACACAUGCAAGUCGAACGGUAACAGGCCUUCGGGUGCUGACGAGUGGCGAACGGGUGAGUAAUGCAUCGGAACGUACCCAGAGGUGGGGGAUAACGCAGCGAAAGCUGUGCUAAUACCGCAUGUGAUCUGAGGAUGAAAGCGGGGGACCGAGCAGCAAUGUUUGGCCUCGCGCCUUUGGAGCGGCCGAUGUCGGAUUAGCUAGUUGGUGGGGUAAAGGCCUACCAAGGCGACGAUCCGUAGCUGGUCUGAGAGGACGACCGCCCACCCUGGGACCGUGACGAGGCCCAGACCCCGACGGGAGGCAGGGGGGGGGAUUUUUGAAGAAGGGGGUAGAGGCGAACCCAGCAAGCCGGAGGGGGGAAGGAGGGCUUUGGGGUUGGAAACGCUUUUGGGAGGGAACAAAGCGGUGUCCGCAAAUACGGGGCGUUAAUGACGGAACCGGAAAAAAAAGCGCCGGCUAACUACGUC